UGACCCCCUUGUCACUGAAUAUUGAACAGUUAUUCUUACCAACAAGUACCGAAAGGAAUCGAAUACGUCCCCGCUUCAAAAUGUCUGGCAGACUUCGUCUCUACAAGGAGAAGCUGGAAGGCUACAACCGCUUCUACUCCAUUGUGAAGACGAUCAAGAUGGUGACGAUGGCCAAGUUCCGCCAGGCGCAGGUGCGGAUCAAGACGCGUGACUACACGCUUCGCUAUACCGAGAAGGCUUUUAGCAAGCCGGGCCAGCUUGUCGGGGACUCGCCGCAGGCUAAGACCAUCUACAUCCCCGUCAUGACGAACCGUGGCUCGUGCGGUGCUCUCAAUAGCAACGUUGUGAAGGCGAUCGACAGCGUUGCCUCUAGCCGCGCCUACCUCAUGCCCCUCGGCAAGAGGGGUAUCGAGUCGCUCUCGAAGCUGUACCCGUCCUCCUUCCGAAUGGGCAUCGUCAACGACAUGCACGAGCCGAUGCACUUCGCGUACGCCACGUACGUCUGGGAGAACGCGCAGCAACUGUGCCCCGAGGCCGACCGCGUCCACGUCAUUUUUCACCGCUGUGUGAGCGCUGGCUCGCAGAAGCAGUGCUACUACAACAUCCCCUCCUACGAGAAGUGGAGGGAGGAUCUGGCUGACGCCUCCAGCACGGAGAACCAGAAGAGUCGUUACCUCUUUGCCAACACGCUUCUGAACGAGGACGAGCAGAUGAUUCGCGACUUCUACGACUUCCACGCGACCCUGGCCAUCCUGAACGCGGUGUGCGAGAACGAGCUCUCGGAGCAGGCCGCGCGUCUGGUCGCUGUGGAAGGUCAGCUGUCGAACAUCAGCACGCUACAGCAGAAGACCAGCUCCUUGUACAACAAAACUCGCCAGAGCAGCAUUACUUCGUCGCUGAUCGAGAUUAUCUCCGCCAUGACGUCGCUCGAGGGUAACGCGGCGAAGGGCGUGCAGCGGACAAACUUCUGGGAGGGUGCGCGCACGAUGUGAGCGGUGCACGACGCAGUACCGGCACCUAGAGUGAUGGACCUCGCCCUCCCCCAAAUCUGCGCGCGUCCGAUUUGCAGAGUGCGUUUCCUCUGUUGUAGCGAGUCUCGUGUGUCGAGGUUGUUUCUCUUUAGUUUUCUCGUAACAUCAGUGUGUCUUCCUCCCUCUUCGAGGGAGGGAAGGCACACUUGCACGGUCCACUCCGCCCGCACACACCGAGAGAAGUACCAUUUAGCACUUUUUUUCGUUUUCCUAAGAGUAUCGGCGUGAUGCCGCAUUACGUAUUGGUAGGAGCUAAACCCCUCACGAAAGGAAGAGCUAAUGCGGAAAGAACAAAACGGAGCGCGUGUCGCUGAUCCCCCCUCUCUCCGCCCCUGGAGCACUCCUUGUGCGCUGCUUGCUCAGCAUUUCCUUUGUGUGGAAGCGGGCUUAGGGGGCCGUGUGCGCAAGACUCUGGCGGAUCGCUGCGCCUGACCUACACUGAGCACCUUUAGCGUCUGCUGGAUGCAGCGCCCCUUGCCUGAACGUAUGCCGCUCUGCCUGCCUCUCGCUGUCCUCUCACUGUCUUCAAGAAGAUGAUUGUGACAGUGUCGGUGGCGAGAGUGCUGGACGAGGGAGAGCUGUAUGUCCUUUUCUGCCCUGCUCCGUUUCAGGUGGGACCGAAUAUGGGAGAGGCAAGUAGAGGGGAGUGGACAGGGUGAGAGAGCUGUCUCGUCAAAGCAGCGCGUCUCCCUUCGCUUCCUGCGCACAGAUGCCUUCCUCCGACCCACCUGCGCGUGUGCACGUGCCUCGACGUAAGACUACCUGCCUCUGCAUCUUAUCAUUCUCGCGGUCGUCCCCACCGUUGUGGUUCUCUCUUCUACAAACCCCGCGCUGGGGCUAACUUAACCUCUACCCUUCCAACGCACAUCAACAG
This 1905-nucleotide unclassified non-coding RNA is filed under the name Leishmania donovani. Its description in RNAcentral is "gene:LdHU3.21.2550(CDS-product:ATP_synthase_F1_su bunit_gamma_protein_putative)". The record is from RNAcentral. Lineage: Eukaryota; Euglenozoa; Kinetoplastea; Trypanosomatida; Trypanosomatidae.